UCAUCAAGUAUUUUAUUUUGAGCAUUGCUAUGAGUACUUUGUGAAUUGAAAGUUUGUAUUGUCCUCUUUAGAGAUACUUAAUUUUCUGAGUGAGUCACCGAUACUACUGCCGAUUAUUUAUUUUGCCAUAGUAUUGAGUGGGUUGAGGACUCUGUGGUGAAAUGGACAUCUAAGACAUACAAUCUCUGAAAAUGAAUUGCUGGAAGCACCCUCUGUACAUGUAAGGACCACCAAUUGUGAGUAAAGCACAGAGUAAAUUGUGUAGUGUUAACACAGUGUCAAGAUAAUUGAAAAAGACAGUGAAUUCUUGUGAGUACAGAAAAUCCGCUUUGUGUUAAUCAUCCGUGAAAGCUACAGAGUUAUAUUUUCUUGAGACAUUCUCGUCAAGUAUCAUCAAGUAUUUUAUUUUGAGAAUUGCUAUGAGUACUUAUUGUCCUCUUUAGAGAUACUUAAUUUUCUGAGUGAGUCACCGAUACUACUGCCGAUUAUUUAUUUUGGUGAGUAUCCAUUUAA
This is a long non-coding RNA of Homarus americanus (American lobster), 513 nucleotides long. RefSeq lists it as uncharacterized. The transcript has 2 exons. The record is from RefSeq and is a predicted model, not a curated record. Lineage: Eukaryota; Metazoa; Arthropoda; Malacostraca; Decapoda; Nephropidae.